UACAGAGGGUGCGAGCGUUGUCCGGAAUCACUGGGCGUAAAGGGCGCGUAGGCGGCCUGAUAAGUAGGGGGUGAAAUCCUGCGGCUCAACCGCAGGGCUGCCUUCUAAACUGUCAGGCUGGAGCACGGUAGAGGCAGAUGGAAUUCCCGGUGUAGCGGUGGAAUGCGUAGAGAUCGGGAAGAACACCAGUGGCGAAGGCGGUCUGCUGGGCCGUUGCUGACGCUGAGGCGCGACAGCGUGGGGAGCGAACAGG
RNAcentral lists this ribosomal RNA (253 nucleotides) under uncultured bacterium. RNAcentral describes it as "partial 16S ribosomal RNA". It matches the Rfam family "Bacterial small subunit ribosomal RNA", at positions 524 to 776 of the family's 1533-position model. The record is from RNAcentral.